RNAcentral lists this long non-coding RNA (4185 nucleotides) under Megachile rotundata (alfalfa leafcutting bee). RNAcentral describes it as "uncharacterized LOC105662216". The record is from RNAcentral. Lineage: Eukaryota; Metazoa; Arthropoda; Insecta; Hymenoptera; Megachilidae.
GCUUCAAGGAUAAUUUCAUAAUUGCCAUAACAAUCGGAAUAUUCUGAUUCCAGACGUUCAAAGGUGAACCACUGUGUAGUCUCUCCGGUAGGAGUGGUUAAUUUCCAAGUGUUCUCUGCAUUUGUUUGCACAUGUUUAACGAUACGGGACUAAUAAACAUGUCUAAAUUCUUUCAGACUGUUUUGAAAUGGCACGAGAAGUCUGGCAAUGAUCAGAACGGUGUGUUGGCUUUAAAGGGAACGAAUCAGUUCCCGAUCGAUCUUCCGUCAAAGAGGAAUCCGUGGAAUCUGUUUCUAUCGUGUACACUUCAAGUUCAUUGUCCCCAAUAUCUGGUAGGCCACAGAACCCCGAAACGAGAGAUCCUUUUGGUCUCGUCGUGGUACUGGAGCCCCGUUCCAAGUACAUCUGCGCCGAGCGGAUGCAGCCUGCAUUUUAUGACCGCCCAAUGCAACCGAUUCUCAUUCGUGCACCCGUACUCACACCCUCCACCACUUUCAGCACGCGGUAUAACGACUUCUAUAAUUAGAUUUCCUUCCCUUUAGCUUAGACACCUUCCGAGCAUGAUCUCCCCCCGCGAAUCUUUUAAGGGGAGUGCAUGACCUUCGCGACACCCGCUUCACGACAGAAAAAAUUAUAAUUCUAGAUUAGCCGUGUUCUAGGAUGAUUAAUAUAACUUUUGAACUUUAGGAUCUUUGGGUGCUUUGCAACUUUGUAACUUCGGGCUCUAAAUUCUAAACCUAGAAGCUGAUUUAACUCUCAUCACUAUCCAGUAAUAUACUUUGUACCUAAUGUACUAUCAACAUUUCAACCUCAACGUAAACAUAAUGCAGUUGCAGUGUUGAUAUUAGAUGAUCAUAGAUAUCUUCAAAAGCAACUGUCCCUUUGAUCAGCCUCUUGGUUGUCAAGAUUCAGCAAGUUUCCAUAAUUAACACUCAACUAACGUUUCGUUCCAAAUAUCAGUUCACGAUCAGUACAGUCGAACUGCAGACCUUAUCGUUCAAAGGUCUAUCUAUUGAUAGAACAUUUAACCCACUCGUAAGACGAGUAAUUUGUCUGGUGUCACCUUUUGCAUUCGAAUACCGAUCCACGACGUCGGUAUUUGAAUAACGAUCCACAUGUCCGAACAGGAUGACAUUAACAACAUACACACAGAGAGUAAACGCAUGUUACAGGUUUCAAGCCGGCUAUUUCGAACAGGUUGCGCUCGGAUCUAUUUUUCGAUCAUUGGCAUCGACCGGAUCUACGGAUCCACACUCUUCUAAUGACAGGUAGCCAGAAAAAUAAUUGAAACUACGACGAUUAAAUCGCGGCGCGAUCUAUAAGAGGCAUGCCAAAACACCUCAUCCUCUUAAUUAUAAGCGCUUAAUGGCUGGCGAUUGGCCAGAAGUUUGCAAAACGAAAAUUUCAGUUUAAGGAAUUUCAGGUGAAAUCUUCAGGUUAACUCUUUUAUGGAUCGUGAUUUACAUCAUGAAUUUAUGUUGCAACGAUGAAAUAAAUUUUCUUCACUUUCAGAUAGUGUCCCGUUUUGUUAUACAUUGUGUAUAUGUUUACAAACAGGAUAAGAGCCAUCUAACGCCACAUCAAGUGUCUUACAUAAAGGUGUCAUUAAACGAUCUUGGCACAGCUUAUUUUCCUUGUUGGCAAAUCUGCCGAGUAUCAAACAAUUCAUUUGUUUUAACAUAUACUAUUGUAAAGAAUUGUUGAUAUAUUUUAAGCCGGAGAAAAACUUCACCAGGAGAAAUUUUACUACUGGUGUAUUGAAUGGAGGUUUUGCAACAUUGGCUCUUUCAGAGCAGUGCCAAGUUCGCUGUCAUUAUCAAAAUGCAUGAUCUAAACGAUUACUGAAAUGAUAGUUAUGUAUAUCGCCACGUGUUAGAUUGUUACGCGAUAGAUAGCUAUAUGCUGGAUACUGUUAGAUAUCUAACUGUUUGUUAGAUUAUCAUUCAUCAGCUACAGGUUAAAUUUUAAAUUGCCACGUGUUAAAUUAUUAUACAGUAGAUUACCACAUAUUAAAUUAGUAUAUGUUAGAUUACUUUAGUUUAGAUAUUUAUCUGUUGGAUAUCUGUGCGCUAGAUAUCUGUGCGCUGGGUAUCUGUGCGCUAGAUAUCUAUACGCUAGAUAUCUGUGCGCUGGAUAGCUACACGUUACAUUGCAACGCGUUAGAUUAUCGCAUAUUGGAUCAUCACCACGUGUUACAUCACGUAUUAAAUUUCUACGUGUAGCAACAUGACAUUCAAUUCAAACAAACAGGUAUUCACUCAUAAAUGGAAUAUGGAAGAAUUUUCUCUAUAAAUGCAAUGCAAUAUUGCACCACAAAACCACUGCAACACGUGAAUUUAAAAAAUGAUAAAUUGAAAUAAAAAAUUGUAUAAUACGAGCCUUGUGAACUUUACUGCCACUUUGCAGUAGCUUGGCAACCCAAUCCGAUCCGUCCCUGAUCCGCAUGCAAAUACGUGCUAUACUUAGAGAUGUCCGAUUUCCCUCGUUACAACAGAUAGCAUUUUCGUCUUCAUCGACCUUAAUCAUUUCUCAAGAAAUCUGUAUGCAAUAACGGUUCCGAACAAUGAAUACAAUGCAACUUUCUUCGAAUGAAGUCGACAACUUUUUUUCUUAACGCUUGCAAAUUGAAUUCUACACAAAUGUAAUUCAAUUUCUCCUUUAAUUUGCAAUCGUUUUCCCACGGUAUUCCACGGAAGUAAGAGGAUGAGAUAAUGUUAACGAGUACUUGUGUCUAGAUUUUACGUUCUAGAUUCUUCAAUGAGCCACUAGAAGAAAUCUGAAUGAGCAUCCACGUGUUCGUGCAGACACAAGUCACUUGAAGGCGUACGUACAUUUUUUAUGAAGAAACCAGAUUCGUGAAUGAACCUAAAAAUUCAACCUCGCAGUUCAAUUCUUGAAUCAAGCUUCUCAGAAGUUGAAUCAAUUGAGAAGUUCUCAAAAGCUUGGAUCAAUUUAUACUUGUAACAUAGUCCUCAAUCUUAUAGAGAAUACCAAGCACUAGGAAUACUAAUCAAUACCAAAAGCUCCAGAUUUUUAUUAUUCAGGUAUUGUUCCGGAACAAUUUUCGCAUUGUGGCAUCUUAAAUCAUGGACCACCAGACAUACGGUCCUAUACGGGCGCGUAAACUCAAGAUGAUCACGUGUAGGAGAUGAAUGCAUGUGCUCGCAAAGGGAAGCUGCGAUGGAAAAAGAAGCGCAGGGAAAAAAAGGGGAGAUAGGAAAGAAAGAGAGGGAAGAAGGACGCGUGUCGGUCGCGUGCCCGUUCCCGCUGGUGACUCUGUGUCUGCGACCCUCCUAUCCUUUAACCCCUCCUGCAGCUUUUCCACCGACAAAUUUCUGAGUGGGACAACUAGGUCCUUUAAAAACAUUUCGAUGACAUUACCGCCAUUAACUCCAUCUAUUUAUUCUACGACCCUUCGUUGCGUUACAAAUGUAUAAUUAUUUUCCAUUGCGUUGAUGACACGAUGCAUGUGAGCGAGCGUAUUAACCAAGUGUUAAAUGUUGAAUGGUACAAUGAUCGAAAGCACGGAGAGUAAAAAGGAAGAAUUCCAUGAAUCCAUCAGCGAACUGUUCAGGACUACGACCUCAGCCCCCUCAUCGUCUAGUCCACUUCCUCUUCUUCCGUCCCCUUCAUUUUUUCAUCUCCUCCUUGAAGCCGUCUGGACGAUGGAAAUUGAAGAAAGAGAAUCAACCAGGGAGGAUCAGGGUGACACACACGUGGUCUGUGUGGCAAUAGAGGAACCACCUACUGCAACAGGAGAUGUAUCCAUUGGAAAGCAGACGUUUUAUCGAACAAUCGCGGAACGGUGCUCGUGGAUGUUGGAAUAACGGUUCGUUUUUGAAGGAGCUUUCGAGUGUACAGUCAACAUCGGAGACGGAAGUCAUCAACAUUCUCCAGAUUUCGAACGAGCAAUAAUCUCCUUGGUCAUUAACCAUGCUGCUGUCACUCCUUGGUCGCAAUUUUCAUUCUACACUUCAUCUAGUCAACGAACUUUAAAACGAACGAACUAUACAUGGUCUCUGCCGAAAUUAUGAGCGAAUUAAGACUAAGUAAUUAAUAGUUAAAAACGAAUGAAUGGCAACGAAUAACGCUAAUUAUUGUACGCAGCGUUUCAAGUUGAUUGCACUUACGGUCAGCUGAUUACUUGUUGAAUGUACAUUCCAGUACCGGUACGAAUUUAAAUGC